GAUGAACGCUGGCGGCGUGCUUAACACAUGCAAGUCGAACGGAAAGGCCCAAGCUUGCUUGGGUCCUCGAGUGGCGAACGGGUGAGUAACACGUGGGUGAUCUGCCCUGCACUUCGGGAUAAGCCUGGGAAACUGGGUCUAAUACCGGAUAGGACCACAUUUUGGAUGGUGUGGUGGAAAGAUUUUCGGUGUGGGAUGAGCUCGCGGCCUAUCAGCUUGUUGGUGGGGUAAUGGCCUACCAAGGCGUCGACGGGGAGCCGGCCUGAGAGGGUGUACGGCCACAUUGGGACUGAGAUACGGCCCAGACUCCGACGGGAGGCAGCAGUGGGGAAUAUUGCACAAUGGGCGCAAGCCUGAGGCAGCGACGCCGCGUGGGGGAUGACGGCCUUCGGGUUGUAAACUCCUUUCGCUAGGGACGAAGCGUUUUUGUGACGGUACCUGGAGAAGAAGCACCGGCUAACUACGUG
Molecule: ribosomal RNA, 467 nt
Filed under: uncultured bacterium
Lineage: Bacteria
Description: partial 16S ribosomal RNA
Rfam family: Bacterial small subunit ribosomal RNA
Source: RNAcentral